CCUACGGGAGGCUGCAGUGAGGAAUAUUGGUCAAUGGGCGGGAGCCUGAACCAGCCAAGCCGCGUGAGGGAAGAAGGUACAGCGUAUCGUAAACCCCUUUUGUCAGGGAACAAAGGCGGGGACUAGUCCCCGGAUGAGGGUACCUGAAGAAAAAGCAUCGGCUAACUCCGUGCCAGCAGCCGCGGUAAUACGGAGGAUGCGAGCGUUACCCGGUUUUAUUGGGGUUAAAGGGUGCGUAGGGGGCCUGUUAAGACAGCGGUAAAAUCCAGGGGCUCAACCCCGGCGAGCCGUUGAAACUGGCGGGCUGGAGUUGAGGAGAAGUACGCGGAAUGCGCGGUGUAGCGGUGAAAUGCUUA
RNAcentral lists this ribosomal RNA (356 nucleotides) under uncultured bacterium. RNAcentral describes it as "partial 16S ribosomal RNA". It matches the Rfam family "Bacterial small subunit ribosomal RNA", at positions 338 to 692 of the family's 1533-position model. The record is from RNAcentral.